This 843-nucleotide ribosomal RNA is filed under the name Mammaliicoccus lentus. RNAcentral's name for it is "bacterial SSU rRNA". It matches the Rfam family "Bacterial small subunit ribosomal RNA", at positions 39 to 866 of the family's 1533-position model. The record is from RNAcentral. Lineage: Bacteria; Bacillati; Bacillota; Bacilli; Caryophanales; Staphylococcaceae.
UCGGCAGCUAUAAUGCAAGUCGAGCGAACAGAUGAGAAGCUUGCUUCUCUGAUGUUAGCGGCGGACGGGUGAGUAACACGUGGGUAACCUACCUAUAAGACUGGGAUAACUCCGGGAAACCGGGGCUAAUACCGGAUAAUAUAUUGAACCGCAUGGUUCAAUGUUGAAAGACGGUUUCGGCUGUCACUUAUAGAUGGACCCGCGCCGUAUUAGCUAGUUGGUAAGGUAACGGCUUACCAAGGCAACGAUACGUAGCCGACCUGAGAGGGUGAUCGGCCACACUGGAACUGAGACACGGUCCAGACUCCUACGGGAGGCAGCAGUAGGGAAUCUUCCGCAAUGGGCGAAAGCCUGACGGAGCAACGCCGCGUGAGUGAUGAAGGUCUUAGGAUCGUAAAACUCUGUUGUUAGGGAAGAACAAAUUUGUUAGUAACUGAACAAGUCUUGACGGUACCUAACCAGAAAGCCACGGCUAACUACGUGCCAGCAGCCGCGGUAAUACGUAGGUGGCAAGCGUUAUCCGGAAUUAUUGGGCGUAAAGCGCGCGUAGGCGGUUUCUUAAGUCUGAUGUGAAAGCCCACGGCUCAACCGUGGAGGGUCAUUGGAAACUGGGGAACUUGAGUGCAGAAGAGGAGAGUGGAAUUCCAUGUGUAGCGGUGAAAUGCGCAGAGAUAUGGAGGAACACCAGUGGCGAAGGCGGCUCUCUGGUCUGUAACUGACGCUGAUGUGCGAAAGCGUGGGGAUCAAACAGGAUUAGAUACCCUGGUAGUCCACGCCGUAAACGAUGAGUGCUAAGUGUUAGGGGGUUUCCGCCCCUUAGUGCUGCAGCUAACGCAUUAAGCA